AUACCAUGAUGGGGACAUUUCCUCAAUAGCUCCUUAAAACAUUCCCAAGCAUCAUAUAAUGACUCUCCAUCCAUCUGAUAGAAGUUAUUAAUUCCUCCCCUUAGUUU
Humulus lupulus (European hop) is the source of this 107-nucleotide small nucleolar RNA. NCBI's taxonomy places the organism in Eukaryota, Viridiplantae, Streptophyta, Magnoliopsida, Rosales, Cannabaceae. The record is from RefSeq and is a predicted model, not a curated record.